AGAUUAAAAUAAAUUAGGCUUCUAACCUAAAAUUAAUGGAUUCCAUUUUAAUCUU
RNAcentral lists this transfer RNA (55 nucleotides) under Amblyomma latum. RNAcentral's name for it is "tRNA-Ser". The record is from RNAcentral. Lineage: Eukaryota; Metazoa; Arthropoda; Arachnida; Ixodida; Ixodidae.